Long non-coding RNA from Arabidopsis thaliana (thale cress), 268 nucleotides. RefSeq annotates it as other RNA. The transcript has a single exon. NCBI's taxonomy places the organism in Eukaryota, Viridiplantae, Streptophyta, Magnoliopsida, Brassicales, Brassicaceae. The record is from RefSeq.
GGUUUUCCCACGGUCACAAUAUCAGUUGGUAAUUUGUAGUAGGAUCUUGCCUCACCCCUAUGGCCCUAUUAUCUGACGCUGUAACUCGCAAGUGUGCUCAUGAUCCUCCAAUGGAGAAAAUCAUUCAAGUAAAAGAAAAAUGAAACUAUCAUCUUCUUCAUCAUUUUCAAAUCCUCUUUACCGCAUAUCUUCUAAUCGGUUUAACGAUCUUUUGUUAGCUAAAACUAUCAUCUUCCCCAUUAUCUGACCACUUUCACUUUGCCUCGUU